AAGUCGUAACAAGGUUUCCGUAGGUGAACCUGCGGAAGGAUCAUUAACAAAUCCCAUGGCUCGCGUCUCUCCCAGGAGACGACGUGGGCUGUAUGUUCCGGUGCGGAGCGCUGUGGCGCGACGUGCCGUGUUCAAACGUGCUCUGCACAAGUAUGUAAGUCGGACUGAAACAACAUGGUGGGAACUCAACAAACAACUUUUAACAAUGGAUCUCUAGGCUCUUGCAUCGAUGAACGCAGC
RNAcentral lists this unclassified non-coding RNA (240 nucleotides) under fungal sp. RNAcentral describes it as "partial internal transcribed spacer region". The stretch from base 1 to 46 matches the Rfam family "Eukaryotic small subunit ribosomal RNA", at positions 1786 to 1831 of the family's 1831-position model. Lineage: Eukaryota; Fungi. The record is from RNAcentral.